RNAcentral lists this unclassified non-coding RNA (295 nucleotides) under uncultured Conocybe. RNAcentral's name for it is "sequence contains ITS2". The stretch from base 1 to 52 matches the Rfam family "5.8S ribosomal RNA", at positions 103 to 154 of the family's 154-position model. Lineage: Eukaryota; Fungi; Basidiomycota; Agaricomycetes; Agaricales; Bolbitiaceae. The record is from RNAcentral.
AACGCACCUUGCGCUCCUUGGUAUUCCGAGGAGCAUGCCUGUUUGAGUGUCAUUAAAUUCUCAAUCUCUACAACUUUGUGUUGUCUAGAUUGGAAGUGGGGGCUCUUGUGUGGAAUCUAAUUCCUCACUCCCCUUAAAUGUAUUAGCUGGAAUGCCUCUGCAUAUCUGACUAUCAGUGUGAUAAUUAUCUAUACUGUAGUUGUUGCUCGAGGGUAUCUGCUUCAUCAAUCGUCGAAAGACAAUUCUAUAUGACCAUCUUGACCUCAAAUCAGGUAGGACUACCCGCUGAACUUAA